UACGAAGGGGGCUAGCGUUGCUCGGAUUGACUGGGCGUAAAGGGCGCGUAGGCGGUGAGAUGUGUGGGAUGUGAAAGCCCUGGGCUUAACCUAGGAAGUGCAUACCAAACUAUCUGACUGGAGUAUAAGAGAGGGUGGCGGAAUUUCCGGUGUAGCGGUGAAAUGCGUAGAGAUCGGAAAGAACGUCGAUGGCGAAGGCAGCCACCUGGCUUAAUACUGACGCUGAGGCGCGAAAGCGUGGGGAGCAAACAGG
This 253-nucleotide ribosomal RNA is filed under the name uncultured bacterium. RNAcentral's name for it is "partial 16S ribosomal RNA". It matches the Rfam family "Bacterial small subunit ribosomal RNA", at positions 524 to 776 of the family's 1533-position model. The record is from RNAcentral.